UAUUUAGGUGGCAAGCGUUGUCGGGAUUUACUGGGCGUAAAGGGCGCGCAGGCGGUUCGUUAAGUUCGAGGUGAAAGCUCCCGGCUCAACUGGGAGAGGUCCCCGGAUACUGGCGGACUUGAGGGAGGCAGAGGAAAGUGGAAUUCCCGGUGUAGUGGUGAUAUGCGUAGAUAUCGGGAGGAACACCAGUGGCGAAGGCGGCUUUCUGGGCCUUACCUGACGCUGAGGCGCGAAAGCGUGGGGAGCAAACAGG
Molecule: unclassified non-coding RNA, 253 nt
Filed under: uncultured Dehalococcoidia bacterium
Lineage: Bacteria; Bacillati; Chloroflexota; Dehalococcoidia
Description: contains 16S-23S intergenic spacer region
Rfam family: Bacterial small subunit ribosomal RNA
Source: RNAcentral